Molecule: transfer RNA, 29 nt
Filed under: Rubus crataegifolius
Lineage: Eukaryota; Viridiplantae; Streptophyta; Magnoliopsida; Rosales; Rosaceae
Description: partial tRNA-His
Source: RNAcentral
GCGGAUGUACCCUAGUAGAUCAGGGCAGU